UAUUGAUGUUUAAUGUCUCAAUAAACAAUG
This 30-nucleotide non-coding RNA is filed under the name Rattus norvegicus (Norway rat). The record is from RNAcentral. Lineage: Eukaryota; Metazoa; Chordata; Mammalia; Rodentia; Muridae.